GGUGGCUCAGUGGUAGAGUGCUUGCCUGACAUGCAUGAGGCCCUGGGUUCAAUUCCUCAGCACCA
RNAcentral lists this transfer RNA (65 nucleotides) under Dipodomys ordii (Ord's kangaroo rat). It matches the Rfam family "tRNA". Rfam says of the family: Transfer RNA (tRNA) molecules are approximately 80 nucleotides in length. Their secondary structure includes four short double-helical elements and three loops (D, anti-codon, and T loops). The record is from Rfam by way of RNAcentral. Lineage: Eukaryota; Metazoa; Chordata; Mammalia; Rodentia; Heteromyidae.